GUAGGGAAUCUUCCACAAUGGACGAAAGUCUGAUGGAGCAACGCCGCGUGAGUGAAGAAGGCCUUAGGGUCGUAAACCUCUGUUGUGUGGGAAGAAGAGCGUGACGGUACCACACGAGGAAGUCCCGGCUAACUACGUGCCAGCAGCCGCGGUAAUACGUAGGGGACGAGCGUUGUCCGGAUUUACUGGGCGUAAAGGGCGCGUAGGCGGUCAUUUAAGUCAGCUGUGAAAUGGUUUGGCUUAACCGGAUCAUGCGGUUGAAACUGGAUGACUGGAGUGCUGGAGAGGCAAGUGGAAUUCCCAGUGUAGCGGUGAAAUGCGUAGAUAUUGGGAAGAACACCGGUGGCGAAGGCGACUUGCUGGCCAGCAACUGACGCUGAGGCGCGAAAGCCAGGGGAGCAAACGGGAUUAGAAACCCUAGUAGUCC
This 427-nucleotide ribosomal RNA is filed under the name uncultured bacterium. Its description in RNAcentral is "partial 16S ribosomal RNA". It matches the Rfam family "Bacterial small subunit ribosomal RNA", at positions 354 to 796 of the family's 1533-position model. The record is from RNAcentral.